RNAcentral lists this microRNA precursor (102 nucleotides) under Tetraodon nigroviridis (spotted green pufferfish). RNAcentral's name for it is "microRNA 181a-1 (ENSTNIG00000020173.1)". The stretch from base 4 to 90 matches the Rfam family "mir-181 microRNA precursor family". Rfam says of the family: In this case the mature sequence comes from the 5' arm of the precursor. Lineage: Eukaryota; Metazoa; Chordata; Actinopteri; Tetraodontiformes; Tetraodontidae. The record is from RNAcentral.
GGCGUGCCUCGGCAAACAUUCAACGCUGUCGGUGAGUUUUUGGUAUGGGUCCCAUAAAAACCAUCGACCGUUGACUGUGCCCCGCGGCUCACCCGUACCACC